RNAcentral lists this ribosomal RNA (207 nucleotides) under uncultured bacterium. RNAcentral's name for it is "partial 16S ribosomal RNA". It matches the Rfam family "Bacterial small subunit ribosomal RNA", at positions 568 to 774 of the family's 1533-position model. The record is from RNAcentral.
CGUGUAGGUGGUACUGUAAGUAGGGCGUGAAAGCUCCCGGCUCAACUGGGAGAGGCCGUUCUAAACUGCAGAACUAGAGGAUGGUAGAGGGAGGUGGAAUUCCAGGUGUAGCGGUGGAAUGCGCAGAUAUCUGGAGGAACACCAGUGGCGAAGGCGGCCUCCUGGACCAUUCCUGACACUCAGACGCGAAAGCUAGGGUAGCAAACG